Nilaparvata lugens (brown planthopper) is the source of this 5488-nucleotide RNA transcript. It is a transcript of the gene named transcription factor Ken-like, with no coding region annotated. NCBI's taxonomy places the organism in Eukaryota, Metazoa, Arthropoda, Insecta, Hemiptera, Delphacidae. The transcript has 3 exons. The record is from RefSeq and is a predicted model, not a curated record.
AUGUAUACAGUUGCUUGGCUUGUGGCUUCCGAUUCCGAUUUCAGUUUAGUUUUCACUCUUCAGAUUUUUGGUUUUUUGAAUUGAGUUUUUAUAAAUGUUAAAAACUCAUUUCUAGCGUGAUUAAAAUAUGCUGUUAUUUGGUAAUGGGAUAGCAUCCUUCUUAUUAAAUGCAAUGUAUAAAAAGGUUAUUAUCCUACUUAAAAUACCAUUCAACUUUAACUAACACAGUUGGACAAAAGGCUGAAGGAACUUCAGUGAAGAGUGAACCAGAGAUGUGUAGUUCCAUGUUCAGCACAUCUGAGCUGGACAAUGCAAUGUACAGCAAUAAUGCACAUUCAACCUCCUCAGUUGAGUCAACAAUGGCUGCGAAAAAAACCAAACACUACAACUGUGUUCAGUGUAGCUUUCAAACUCGCUGGUUUCAUAAUCUUAAAAUACACAUCAGAAUUCACUCUGGAGAGAAACCUUCCAAUUGUGAAUUUUGCGACUACAGGCUAAAUGUGGAAAUUCAAGUGACUUGAAGGUUCAUUUCAGAACACAUACAAACAAAAAACUUUUCAGCUGCGAAUAUUGUGACUAUAAAUUUGUUCAAUCAAGUACUUGGAAAAAACAUAUAGAAAGACACAAAAGAAAACAUUGUAGUUGCAAAUCUUUUUACUACAAAUGUGCCCAAUCAAGUACUUUGGAAGGACAUAACAGAGCUCAUACAAAAGAAAAGCCUUUUAGAGUUAUGUGACUUCGAAUGAGGCUCUAGACAAAUCAAUAUUUAUUAUUGGGUACGAUAAUAAUCAUAUUAAGUGUUUUCUACGUUCUGUCAGUAUUCUUGAACUUGAAAUAUUUUUCAAUAUUGUGUUAUUUGACUUGAAGUGAUAAUGUUCAUGGAAAUUCUUGUAGUUUUGGCUAUUCUAAAAAUCAUUAAAUGAAGUUCAUCACCACUUCAGCUAUUGUUACUACUUUCUACGCAUACGAUGAACACAUAAGUGAGUGGUAAUGAGUUGAGUGUGAUGUUUCGGAGUAUUCCAGGCGGAGUGGGAAUCGAACAUGAAGAUGCAACGGUAACGUCUAUUGGACCACAACUGGGACAUUGGUAGCAACAACUACUUUGACAUUGUUGGACAUUAUUGGAAAGUACCGCUAAGUAUUCCAAAAAGCCGGUUAAACCAUUAGCUUAGAGUUCUGAGGAGGAGUUGUCCAAGGGCUAACUUUUAUAAUGAGCUGGCGAUAGGAAAACAUGACUGAAGUGAAGGUAUUCUGAAGAACUGGAAGGAUGUGGAAAUUUUUUCAAAUUUAGGAAAAGCCAGGAGUAGCACUCAACCUGCUUUGAAAAUUCUCUAUGACUGAAGAUGGAACAAAAUAGUGAAUGAAACAAAAACCUUGAUCAUGAUGCACCAACCGUUCCAGCAAAAUCAACGGAGAUGGUGGUGGAAGAAGGCUGUAAAGGUUGAAACUCGAGUCAACAAAUCGUCAUCUCUCCAGGGAUCAACAUGAAGCAGAUGAAUGUGAUACACUAGCGGUGACUUACGCAGUGCAGCUGAGAAAGUUUUCAGCUUGGAGGACAAAUGUCACCAUCACAUCGCGGCUCAAUCGAAACAACAGUUCAAGUGCUUUCAGCAUGGAUUCAAAGGACAAAUUCAAUCCCAAGUAUCCAGAAGGACAGGUAUUUCCCAAUAAUAAUAUAAGAUCAACAAUGUAGGAUAACUAAGACUAGACUUGCUGCUCAUUCACUUUAACACGGAUCCUUUUAUUUCAUGACUAGUAUCUAGUAAAAUUUAUAAUUCAGGUUUCAUUUUAUAGGGUCUUGCUUUGCUAUUCAGUAAAGCCUAGUUUACACAUCGCCAAUUGGCGAGACAGCUGUCUUUGGACAAUUGUCAUCACGUGGUUGCGGAUUGUCGGAGGCCAGGCCAGUUGAACGAAAACAUGUUUAUAAGCGGCCAACUGUUGGCACGUCAGUUGACAGCUAAACAUGGCCGACUUCUCGUCAUCUGUUGUGACUGAACUGCCAAAAACAAGACAGCGCUACUGGCCUACACCGUUCACACGGCGCCAACUGUCGCGACAACUGAGAUUCCGAGUGAUGGGGGGCUCGUUGGGCCCAAUUGACUGUCCAUAGUGUACUCCCGGAGACAGUAGAAUUUCGGGCCCAUCGUCGGGACAGCUGGCAAGACAAAUGGCUUGAAGUGUUUAUACGAAGACAAUAAUUUCAUGCCAGUCAGUUGCCUUAUGACAAUUGUCUCGCCAAUUGGCAUCGUAUAAACUAGGCUCAACAGCUGACUAAAAGAUGUAACACACUAGACAUUCAUAUUUUGUAAUAAGUUUCUUUGAAAAUCUCGGACGCCUGUUAUAAUAGAAAUGCUGCGUUCAUGAACAUGGUGUGCUAUGCAAUUCACACUUGCAACUAAACAUUUCUUAUAGGCCUAUUAAUCACAAAAAAUACAGAAUUAACGUAAAGUUUGUGAGCAGCUAUUGAUUGAAGUCAGCCAUUUCCAUUACAAAUCAAUAUAAUAUGAAAAAAUAUUACUUUCAAUUUGAAGAAUAUUUUUCUAAGCUAUUGUUCAGUACCUCCAAAAUGUAACUAAUGUAGCUUUGGGAGAAAUACUGAUAAGAUUUUGUUGUGAAGGUUAUUUUAGCACUAUGAUAAGUGUUAGGGUUUAUUGCAUUUUGUACAAUAUAAGUUAAUGGAAUUAAAUUCAUGCCACAGAAUACUCUUAUCUGGUUUCAAAGAUACAGUCUUAGACAUUCGUUCAUUUAUAGAGCAAUCAAUCAAUAUUAAAGUGAGAGGAAAAACAGGCGAACCUGUAAUCCCAAAUUUAGAAUAAUAACUGUUUUAUAUAAAGUUGAGUAACUUCCCAUUUCUUCCCCUUCUGAUGCAAUUUUUUGUUGCAUACAAAAAAAUGUAUGCUAAAUUUUUUGAGAAAAUAAAUUGUACAUGGAAAAUUUAUUCAGAAUCUCUUUUGAAAUACAAGUUGUAACGUUUGUCAAAAUAGCAAUGCAAAUGUUUGUGGACUUCCAAGUGGGUCCUCUAAGCCACUGUGUCAGUUUUUUGAAACUCAAGACUGUUUUAAUGAUUUAGUUGAGUGAACUAUGCCAAAUUUGUAGGCAAUGUGCCAUGCUUUUAAUUCCUUUUAAACAGGUACUUUCAAAUAGCUUUUAAUAUUAUCAUAGAAUGCUGAGUCCAAUCUCUACACUAUAAUGCAUCUAUCGACACAAUCCAUAAAUGAGAAACUUCACAUCUUAUUAUUUUUGAUCAUUCUAACAUUCAAUAAAAGAGAAGCUAAACAAUUUGUAUAGUAACUAUUCGGGGCAUUACACGAGCAAUGAAUGAAAAUCGAAUUCAUCUUUCCUUUCUCCUGACUGCAAAUGUUUCAACUUAGCGAGAAUUUUUAAACCGAAACAAGAAUAUAGCAUCAUCAAGUCCAUCCUGUUUCAAUCUUUUCACAGCGUUAAUAGAAUUACAAAACUUAUCCAAUACAGAAGCCAAACCUUCUACCUUGAGCACUUUAAAUUAAAAAAUUCCCUUACAGAAGGCUUCCAAUUGCGCUCUCGAAUUGUUAUAGUGAUUGACUAGAGCAUUCCAAAUUACACUAUAUUUUGCAGCUACAGUAGGGAGAUACCUACAAAUAUUAUAUGCUUCACCGGUGAACUUGGAUUUUUGAUAUUGAAUUUUUUGUUGGUCAGACAAUGAUUUAUUUUUGUGAACGAGGGUUUUGAACAACUCUUAGAAAACAGCCAAAUCAGACUGGCGAUCAAUGAAUUUUCUCAACAAUUUCUGGUAAUAACAUUUUAUUAGACAAUGCUGGAGUUAUUAGCGCAGAAUGCACUGAAACAAUAGUUUCCUAUUUAGUUUGAAGAGUUUCAGCUGUAUCAUAAAUUUUCGAUGCCAUAUCCAAGUAACUAUCAUUGAAGAAAGGCACAUAAUUUUUUUCCCAAACUUGACUCCAAUUUAUUGAUAAAAAGCCCAGAAAAAAGAUCAGAAGUUCGUUGAAUUCGUUGGAAUUAAGCUUAUUUUGCUGUAUCUAUUUGACAUGAGGGCUCAGCUGAAAAAGCAUUGAGAAUCAAUAUAAAUUUCAAUAAAAUCAAAUACAAUAAGAAAGUUUUGCUUUAGAAGUAGACAAACAGAUAGCUUAUCUGUAAUGAACUGUACAAUUGCAAGCAUUAAAUUACAUGAAUGGAACUAGUUUGCUGCACGAUCACUGACAAUCGCUAACAUGUCAAACCUCCAACAAUGACAUGAAUAUGAAACAUAUUAUCACUUCAUGAUAUGAAGUUUUAUUUCAGAAUGAUAUAGUGUAAAUCCAGCAUAAAAUAAUUCACAAAAUUGUAAUUUUCUGUCAUUGGGCUGAUGUCAGUCAUUGAAGCUCUUUUUUUGAAUAAUCACAUUCAAUUUUCCUCUUGAAAUGCCAUAAUCAUUUGGAAAAAAUUUUCACACACUUUUGUUCAAUUUCAUUAUUUACAGCCAGUUCAUAGAUGACGGUAAUUAAUCUAUCAUUAAAACGUGUACUGCCUGCACAUCUCACUUUUCUACAUGCUUUUUUGUCACUUAUCUCAAAACGCUGGUCCCGACAAAAAGUAUCCCCCAACUUAUAGAAUUCACUAUGAAUUAGCUGCUGCAUCUCUAUACUAAUCAUAUUGAUACAGUUCUUUCAGCAACAAUUUUCUAAAGGCACCAGCGUUUUAGCUUCAUGCACUUCACCUCUUCUUGACGUAUACUCUAGUCCCAACAUUUUCUGUUUUUUCAUGCACUUUUUCUUACCUCCUUCAUAAUUUGAUUUCUGAAGAGACUGAUCAGUUUUAGUACUUCUAUCUCUUGAUUAUUAUUUUGGCCGUUGAAACAGCUGAGCUACUGCUAACAUUUUCAGAAUUUGGAAUGUAGUCAUCUGUAAUAUGUUUAAAUAUAUCCUCAUCAAAUUCAAUUUAUUUACAGCCAACAAUACAAAAAAUUGUAUCAAAAAAUACAAAUAUUUGUACGAGUAGUUAUUUAAAUAGUUGAUACAAGCAAAUAAAAGUAACAUAGAAUAAUACACAUAAUAGGCUAAAACGUUAUAUGGUCAUUAUUUAUAUGGGUAUUUAGUUUUCUUCACAGUUAUAUACGGUACCGUCAAUUCAUCUAUAUAUAUAAAAGCGAAAUGGCACUCACUCACUCACUCGCAUAACUAAAAAUCUACCGGACCAAAAACGUUCAAAUUUGGUAGGUAUGUUCAGUUGGCCCUUUAGAGGCGCACUAAGAAAUCUUUUGGCAAUAUUUUAACUCUAAGGGUUGUUUUUAAGGGUUUAAAGUUCGUCUUUUAGCAUGUAUAUUCUUCUUCUCCCAAUCUCUUAAUUAUAAUUGAAAUUUCCAUAUCAUAUGUUUCUAUAGAACUAUAAUCUAGAUAGAGUACCUCUUCGAAACAGUUGUUAACUGGCAACUAAAUUAAUAAUUUUGUCAGGUUGGCAUUAAGUUGAGUUGACUUUGUUAGGUUGGCACCAAGUUGAAGAUUUAAAUGCAUUUAUC